UCCAUUUAUUUUUAGUCUUGCAAACUUUGUUUGGCACUGCCCGCUAUGCAUCCCAAAAGGGCCAUCGAAUUCUCACCCAAAAUAAGUUUGUAUUCAAGCUGCCAUUUAUUUUGUGUUGCUGCGCCAGCCGGUUGCCAUUACUGCAUCAUUUAGUUGGACAGUUCCAAUCUCCAAUAUAUACCGUGGGAGCCGUUCGUUGGAUUUGAACAAGCUUCUUUCUCUAAUAUGGCAGGGCUGGGUGAUGGAAAAACAACCCUGGGAGGUUCAUCCGGCAGCACUUGUAAGCUUGAAGAUCAUUUUGGAGAGGGCAUCAUGCCCCCUCUGUGAUGUUAGUGUUGCUGGAGGAGGCGAUGUUGUCCAGUGCAGCGACGUUCAGUGAAACAAUUAAUUAACACCGCUCACUCCUUCAACGCAAUAUGGAGGUGCACUGAGUCUCUAUGGGAUGCCUGUUAGCAAUAAUCGUCGUGACUUGGACAACGAAAUUAUAUUUGACUUCGACGACGGUACUGGCAGGGUUAAGGCCAAGAUAUGGUAUUCACUUGAGCUAUAUUUUUUCUGUGUCAAAAGAUAGUAGCUUCCUUGUUCUACUCUGGUAAAAAAAAUGUUGCUUUCAGGACAGUAGAGUCGGAGUUCAUGCGUUCGAUGGACACUGCUAAAGAUGGUGACUAUAUUGUUUUGAAUGGUGGUAUCCGGGGUGGUACUUAUGACGUGCACAUACGCGUAUAUCCCGUCAGGAUUGUCACUAACUACAACGACAUCACGCACCACUUCCUUUCUUGCAUCUAGGUUCACUUGGGUCUGAGAAAGCAGGCGAGUGUGCGUAAAUGUAUUUCACGUUCCACAUGUAAAACCCAGUAUGGAUGUUCCAUAAUUGAUUCUCUGAUGUGUAUUCAGGCUAGACUACGUCAAGCAGACAGGGAUCGGAGAGAGGCUGCUUCUGUUGUUACAGAGCGCUGUAUUUCAGUGCAUAGUAGCGGCAACUCUCUGUUUGACUCUGUACUUCGGGUCUUCUAUCGCCCUGGGAUAAUGUAAUUGACAGAGAUCCACUAAUCUACUUACCGAUAUAUUUUUUGUUUUGCUAUCUGACCCCUUGGUUGCUAACAAAUAACUUGAAAACAGCGCACCGUUUUCUCUAAUAACGUCUGAAAACGGUGCCGACGAAGAUCAACUUCGAUACUUGCCUAAUUAUGUGACCAUCUAUUGCCGUCAAUGUACCACGUCAAUGUCAUGACAUCUGACCUCCCGUUCGGCGUAGGGCUGUCACUGGAGCUCAUGUCGCUAUUGGAAAUCUCUUCACCACCUUCGACGAAGAUCACUUCAAGUGCUCAUUCAACGGCUAGUGCUCUUUUCUGUCAUGGCACGAGAACCGUUUCCGGAUCACCAUGAAUCGGGAUUCAGUCUGU
Long non-coding RNA from Triticum aestivum (bread wheat), 1403 nucleotides. RefSeq lists it as uncharacterized. NCBI's taxonomy places the organism in Eukaryota, Viridiplantae, Streptophyta, Magnoliopsida, Poales, Poaceae. The record is from RefSeq and is a predicted model, not a curated record. The transcript has 5 exons.